AGUGAACGCUGGCGGUAGGCCUAACACAUGCGAGUCGAACGGCAGCACAGUAAGAGCUUGCUCUUACGGGUGGCGAGUGGCGGACGGGUGAGGAAUACAUCGGAAUCUACUUUUUCGUGGGGGAUAACGUAGGGAAACUUACGCUAAUACCGCAUACGACCUACGGGUGAAAGCAGGGGAUCUUCGGACCUUGCGCGAUUGAAUGAGCCGAUGUCGGAUUAGCUAGUUGGCGGGGUAAAGGCCCACCAAGGCGACGAUCCGUAGCUGGUCUGAGAGGAUGAUCAGCCACACUGGAACUGAGACACGGUCCAGACUCCUACGGGAGGCAGCAGUGGGGAAUAUUGGACAAUGGGCGCAAGCCUGAUCCAGCCAUACCGCGUGGGUGAAGAAGGCCUUCGGGUUGUAAAGCCCUUUUGUUGGGAAAGAAAAGCAGCAGGUUAAUACCCAGCUGUUCUGACGGUACCCAAAGAAUAAGCACCGGCUAACUUCGUG
This 492-nucleotide ribosomal RNA is filed under the name uncultured bacterium. Its description in RNAcentral is "partial 16S ribosomal RNA". It matches the Rfam family "Bacterial small subunit ribosomal RNA", at positions 29 to 507 of the family's 1533-position model. The record is from RNAcentral.